CGAGCAAGGCCGCGUGAACGAUGAAGUAUUUCGGUAUGUAAAGUUCUUUUAUUGAAGAAGAAAAAAUAGUGGAAAAACUAUCUUGACGAUAUUCAAUGAAUAAGCCCCGGCAAACUAUGUGCCAGCAGCCGCGGUAAUACAUAGGGGGCGAGCGUUAUCCGGAAUUAUUGGGCGUAAAGGGUGCGUAGGCGGUUUGGUAAGUCUAUAGUUUAAUUUCAGUGCUUAACACUGUUCUGCUAUAGAAACUAUCAGACUAGAGUGAGAUAGAGGCAAGUGGAAUUCCAUGUGUAGCGGUAAAAUGCGUAAAUAUAUGGAGGAACACCAGAGGCGUAGGCGGCUUGCUGGGUCUUUACUGACGCUGAGGCACGAAAGCGUGGGGAGCAAACAGGAUUAGAUACCCUGGUAGUCCACGCCGUAAACGAUGAGUACUAAGUGUCGGGGAAACUCGGUACUGAAGUUAACACAUUAAGUACUCCGCCUGAGUAGUACGUACGCAAGUAUGAAACUUAAAGGAAUUGACGGGACUCCGCACAAGCGGUGGAUCAUGUUGUUUAAUUCGAAGAUACACGAAAAACCUUACCAGGUCUUGACAUACUCUGCAAAGCUAUAGCAAUAUAGUGGAGGUUAUCAGGGAUACAGGUGGUGCAUGGUUGUCGUCAGCUCGUGUCGUGAGAUGUUAGGUUAAGUCCUAAAACGAGCGCAACCCUUGUCACUAUUUGCCAGCAUGUUAUGAUGGGCACUUUAACGAGACUGCCA
Molecule: ribosomal RNA, 756 nt
Filed under: Candidatus Phytoplasma cynodontis
Lineage: Bacteria; Bacillati; Mycoplasmatota; Mollicutes; Acholeplasmatales; Acholeplasmataceae
Description: bacterial SSU rRNA
Rfam family: Bacterial small subunit ribosomal RNA
Source: RNAcentral